This 301-nucleotide ribosomal RNA is filed under the name uncultured bacterium. RNAcentral describes it as "partial 16S ribosomal RNA". It matches the Rfam family "Bacterial small subunit ribosomal RNA", at positions 509 to 807 of the family's 1533-position model. The record is from RNAcentral.
CAGCCGCCGCGGGAAUACGAGGGGGGCAAGCGUUGUUCGGAAUUAUUGGGCGUAAAGGGUGCGUAGGCGGCUUGACAAGUCUUGUGUGAAAUCUAUGGGCUCAACCCAUAGUCUGCACGGGAAACUGUCGGGCUUGAGAAUGGGAGAGGUGAGUGGAAUUUCCGGUGUAGCGGUGAAAUGCGUAGAUAUCGGAAGGAACACCUGUGGCGAAAGCGGCUCACUGGACCAUUUCUGACGCUGAUGCACGAAAGCUAGGGGAGCAAACAGGAUUAGAUACCCCAGUAGUCCCUGUCUCUUAUAC